This 433-nucleotide ribosomal RNA is filed under the name uncultured bacterium. RNAcentral's name for it is "partial 16S ribosomal RNA". It matches the Rfam family "Bacterial small subunit ribosomal RNA", at positions 29 to 507 of the family's 1533-position model. The record is from RNAcentral.
AACGAACGCUGGCGGCAUGCCUAACACAUGCAAGUCGAACGAGACCUUCGGGUCUAGUGGCGCACGGGUGCGUAACGCGUGGGAACCUGCCCUUAGGUUCGGAAUAACUCCCCGAAAGGGGUGCUAAUACCGGAUAAUGUCUUCGGACCAAAGAUUUAUCGCCUUUGGAUGGGCCCGCGUUGGAUUAGCUAGUUGGUAGGGUAAAAGCCUACCAAGGCGAGGAUCCAUAGCUGGUCUGAGAGAAUGAUCAGCCACACUGGGACUGAGACACGGCCCAGACUCCUACGGGAGGCAGCAGUGGGGAAUAUUGGACAAUGGGCGAAAGCCUGAUCCAGCAAUGCCGCGUAAAUGAUGAAGGCCUUAGAGUUGUAAAGCUCUUUUAACCGGGAUGAUAAUGACAGUACCGAAAGAAUAAGCGCCGGCUAACUCCGUG